Molecule: long non-coding RNA, 1859 nt
Filed under: Macaca mulatta (Rhesus monkey)
Lineage: Eukaryota; Metazoa; Chordata; Mammalia; Primates; Cercopithecidae
Description: lncRNA (ENSMMUG00000057350.1)
Source: RNAcentral
UACUGAACAGGUAAUUCCCAUUUUCUGUCGUUUGCUAAUGAACAUUUUUAUCCACUCCAACUAUUUACUAUGUUUUUUCUAUGAAGUAGAUAUAUAGUACCUAUAGGUACAUAGAAUGUAUGUUUUAAAGCACCAAACAUAUGAGUAUGAUCUCCAGUAGCAUGUGAAUUGCUUGUUGGGGGUCAAAGGUCAUUGUUUAAUUUUGCACUUGUUUGGGUUAGCAUUUCCAAUGCUAAAGGCUUUGUACUUGAAGAGCAUAAAUAGUUAAAUUUAAGAGAGGUUAACUACUAAUAUAAAGUAUAAUCUCUGCUAAAAAGGGAGAUGAAGUCUUAGUCCUUCUAUUGUAAUUAGGCCCUAGAAGUUUGUUGAUCACAAGAAGGUGAAAUAGCUUUUGUAAGUCUACAGAACUAUUAUGUGGAGGAACUGGAUUUCAGACUGAGAGUUGUCCAUUUCCACUCAGAAAAUGCAUAUUUUGAAUUAAUUUUGCUUACUCUAUAUUUAGAAACAGAAGAAACAAGAUAUCUAGUAAAAUAGUGUUUUUUUUGUACCAAAUCAAUCCUAAAUACUUAGUAGCUUAACCCAAUACAAAUAUAUUUCUUGCCUAUUAACAGUCUGGUGUGGAUCUCCCUUGUCUAUGAACAGCUUUCUUCCACCUGGUGAUUCAGGAACCCAAGAACCUUUACCUUGUGGCUACACCAUCCUUAGGGGCUUGAAGUCCUUAACAUUCAUCUGAAAAUGGAGAGACAGUACUAAAGAAGAAAUGCCUGACUUAAAAUCCCUGGCCUGGAAGAGACACCACUCUUGCUAUGUUAUUGGUGAGAACUAGUCAGCACAUUGGAAUGUAGGGGAAACUGAGUAGGUAGGCAGAAAUUGUUAAGGCCUUACAGCCCCAAAGUCUAGCCCACAGAUGACCGUCUAUAAUCUCUUUCCUCAGGGAUGAAGGAAGGAUGGUCACAUGGAAAAUGGCGAGAAGUCUCUGCCUACCACUGUGGAAAUCUCAGCUUUCCUGGCACAUCUAGUAAAACUUUGAGGUUUGUUUUAUCUUGAGUGAACCUCUGAAUCUAUAACUAACAAACUGAUUUUAAAGCAACAGCUUCCCCUGGAGCCCAGUGCUGUGGUGUUUUGGAGUCAGGCGUGAAUCUAAGCUCAUGUUAACCACCACCUAGUUGUCUCAGGUGGGUCAAUUCAUUUGCUUAAGAGCAAUGAACUUUUGUUUCCACAGCUGUAAAAUACACAAUUCCCUUCUUAACUGGAUUUAUAAAAGUUACAAAACUUAUAAAUACUUUUUAUAAACUGUCAAAAAAUACAGAUGUGUAUGAAGAGUUGUUAUUCUUACCUGUCAUUCCAGCCAUCCUGAUGUAAUUAAUAUUUUGAUGUGAAUCCUCAUUUGUCUUUCUCUAUAUGCUUUCAAGUUUAUAGCAAUAUAGCAUCUUACCACAUAUUGAGAGCUCAAAAAAUCUAUGUUAAGUGAAUAAAAUAAGAUAUAUAUAUAUAUAUAGACACACACACACACAGAGAUAUAUUAUACACAGGAGUUUUUCCUUUUUAUAAAAAUAAGACCUGACUGUAUGUAUUAUUCCACAGCAUGCUUUUAUUGAUGUGAUUUCUGAUUGAUUCAUUUUUUUUUUUGCCUAUAAAACACUGCAGUAACGAACUUCCUUGUACAUAAACCAUUAUGUACUGGUGCUUUCGUUUUUAAAAAUGUUCUUCCAUGUAAGAUUGUGGAGUCUAAAGUAGGCACUUUAAAUUUUUGAAUAGAUAUUGUCAGUUACUUUCCAAAACUAGUUAUAGUAGUGUACAUGUUUACCAUCAAUAUAUGGACUUUUCAUUUCUUAAAAUGGGAAUUCUAAUACUUACAU